Molecule: ribosomal RNA, 1201 nt
Filed under: metagenome
Description: bacterial SSU rRNA
Rfam family: Bacterial small subunit ribosomal RNA
Source: RNAcentral
GUUCUGAGAGGAUUUUCCCCCACACUGGUACUGAGACACGGACCAGACUCCUACGGGAGGCAGCAGUAAGGAAUAUUGGGCAAUGGACGAAAGUCUGACCCAGCCAUGCCGCGUGCAGGAUGACAGCCCUACGGGUUGUAAACUGCUUUUAUACGGGAAAAAUUCCCUGGUCGUGUACCGGGGUUGAUGGUACCGUAAGAAUAAGCAUCGGCUAACUCCGUGCCAGCAGCCGCGGUAAUACGGAGGAUGCAAGCGUUAUCCGGAUUUAUUGGGUUUAAAGGGUGCGCAGGCGGAAUGAUAAGUCAGUGGUGAAAUCCUACAGCUUAACUGUAGAACUGCCAUUGAUACUGUUGUUCUUGAGUACAUUUGUAGUGGGCGGAAUGCGUCAUGUAGCGGUGAAAUGCUUAGAGAUGACACAGAACACCGAUCGCGAAGGCAGCUCACUAAACUGUAACUGACGCUGAGGCACGAAAGCGUGGGGAUCAAACAGGAUUAGAUACCCUGGUAGUCCACGCUGUAAACGAUGAUCACUCGAUGUUGGCGAUACACUGUCAGCGUCCAAGCGAAAGCAUUAAGUGAUCCACCUGGGGAGUACGGUCGCAAGAUUGAAACUCAAAGGAAUUGACGGGGGCCCGCACAAGCGGAGGAGCAUGUGGUUUAAUUCGAUGAUACGCGAGGAACCUUACCUGGGCUCAAACGCAAGACGAUCGUUCCGGAAACGGAAUUUUCCCUUCGGGGCGGCUUGCGAGGUGCUGCAUGGUUGUCGUCAGCUCGUGCCGUGAGGUGUCGGGUUAAGUCCCAUAACGAGCGCAACCCCUAUCAUUAGUUGCCAUCAGGUAAAGCUGGGGACUCUAGUGAAACUGCCUACGCAAGUAGUGAGGAAGGUGGGGAUGACGUCAAAUCAGCACGGCCCUUACGUCCAGGGCUACACACGUGCUACAAUGGCCGGUACAGAGGGUCGCUACCUGGUGACAGGAUGCUAAUCUCGAAAACCGGUCUCAGUUCGGAUCGAAGUCUGCAACUCGACUUCGUGAAGUUGGAUUCGCUAGUAAUCGGAUAUCAGCAAUGAUCCGGUGAAUACGUUCCCGGGCCUUGUACACACCGCCCGUCAAGCCAUGGAAGCUGGGGGGACCUGAAGUUCGUGACCGCAAGGAGCGACCUAGGGUAAAACUAGUGACUGGGGCUAAGUCGAAACAAGGUA